AAGGGGGGGGAGGGGGGUCCCUGUGCCUCUCAGACGUCCUGAGGAAGACUCUGGUCUCUGCAGCCUGAGGAGGAAAGCAGAGAUAAAUGAAGGAACCGGCGCGAUGGGGCCUCGGCUGCAGCAUCAUUACUACUGGCUGACAAGCAACUCCCUCAGUUUCCCCACAGUGGGAGAGAACAGUCUGAUAUUAUGGUGAUAAAUGGACUUUGAUCCCGUCUGUGUGGGAUGAUAAACUUCUCUUAUUGAUGAGAUGGAAGAUCACGCCGGUGAUCUGGUGAGGAUCAACGGGAGAACGUAAACACGCAGAGGAAUCCCUCACUCUUUAAACAACGAACCCCGUGGAGGCUGCACUCUGCAUCUUAUCUGCCUCCUUUAAUAACACCAGUCAGCAGUUUGCCUCCUGAAAGCUUCCAACUGCUCUCAAUAAAACCCGAAUGACUGGA
Molecule: non-coding RNA, 443 nt
Organism: Gasterosteus aculeatus aculeatus (three-spined stickleback)
Lineage: Eukaryota; Metazoa; Chordata; Actinopteri; Perciformes; Gasterosteidae
Source: RefSeq, a predicted model, not a curated record